UGAAACGGUCCCUUGUGCUGCCAGAAUCUCUCUGCCUUUCAGUCAUGGCCUCUUCCUCCUGGCUUUCAAGAUGUUCAGAGGCAUUGCUAAGAAAGAGAGAGCAGAGCUCUUCCUAGGCCAUGGCAGAGUUCACCUUUCCAGGUGUAUGCCAGAGCAUGAAGCAUGGUCAACAAGCACGGGGUAGCAGCAGCUGGAAACAGGGGAAGCUUCCACAGAGCCCCCCGCUGGAGUCCCAGGGUGAUGAGCUGAAGCUGAUUUGGGCAGCAUGAAACCCGGUGGUUUUCCGGGAUGUGUGCCGUAUAGGGCUCAGGGCUGUCACUGGGGUUGCUUUCACAGGACGCCCCCCAGCCCAGCUCAGGACCCACGGAACAGCACAAGGCAACAGAGACGUUGACAGCAGCGAUGGUGAUGGAGAUGUUGAGAGUGGAGGAGCUCUUGGCUCGCUGCAGCCACCCCAGCAUUCCCGGAGCUCCCUGCUGGCCCCGGAGGAGUCCGAGUGCUCUGUGCUGGAAGAAGAGGAGUCGAGGCUGCUGGAGACAUCAGGGCUCAGUGGCUCUGUGGCAGUGAUGCGCUGCAUCAGCUCUUGCGUUUGGCAGCUGUUUGCAGUGGCUUUGGUCCCCUCUCUUG
RNAcentral lists this long non-coding RNA (627 nucleotides) under Gallus gallus (chicken). Its description in RNAcentral is "lncRNA (ENSGALG00010028699.1)". Lineage: Eukaryota; Metazoa; Chordata; Aves; Galliformes; Phasianidae. The record is from RNAcentral.